Non-coding RNA from Tachyglossus aculeatus (Australian echidna), 543 nucleotides. Lineage: Eukaryota; Metazoa; Chordata; Mammalia; Monotremata; Tachyglossidae. The record is from the annotation of a RefSeq genome assembly.
AUGCGGCGAUUCCUGCAGCUGCGGCUGCUGCUGCCACUGCUGCUGGGACCCAGCCCUGGGUUUGGGGCUCUGAUCUCGCAGUGGCCGAGCAGAGGUAUCUGGAAGAGCGGAACCACGGUGAAGAUCCAGUGUUACCAGAACGACAGUGACCCCACUUACCUGUAUUGGUACCGGCAACUGGCGGGGCAGGAUCUGGUGCUCAUGGCCUCUGCCAACCUGGGUUCCACAGCCUCCUACGAGAAGGGGUUCGAGGAGACCAAGUUCCCCAUCCAACGCCCAGAACUGAGGUCUUCCUCACUGGAAGUCCUUAAUGAGCUGGAGCAGCAAGGGCAACCCCGGCCAAAGAAGUCCCAGGCCCGGGAUCUCCCUGCCUUCACUUCGAAGGACAGUGAGCAGCAACUCUGGGCCCCAAGCAAGCGUUGUUUGUGGUGGUUUGCCUCCUGGGAACAGGUGAGUCCUGGGCACAGAGGGGAAAACCCCCAGCUGGGCUGACUGGGCCCCAGCGCCAGUCCUUUCCCUGGCAGCCUCUGGCCCCAGGGCUAG